RNAcentral lists this ribosomal RNA (540 nucleotides) under uncultured bacterium. RNAcentral's name for it is "bacterial SSU rRNA". It matches the Rfam family "Bacterial small subunit ribosomal RNA", at positions 355 to 896 of the family's 1533-position model. The record is from RNAcentral.
UGAGGAAUAUUGGUCAAUGGGCGAGAGCCUGAACCAGCCAAGUAGCGUGCAGGACGACGGCCCUAUGGGUUGUAAACUGCUUUUGUAUGGGGAUAAAGUCAAUCACGUGUGAUUGUUUGCAGGUACCAUACGAAUAAGGACCGGCUAAUUCCGUGCCAGCAGCCGCGGUAAUACGGAAGGUUCGGGCGUUAUCCGGAUUUAUUGGGUUUAAAGGGAGCGUAGGCCGGAGAUUAAGUGUGUUGUGAAAUGUAGACGCUCAACGUCUGACUUGCAGCGCAUACUGGUUUCCUUGAGUACGCACAACGUUGGCGGAAUUCGUCGUGUAGCGGUGAAAUGCUUAGAUAUGACGAAGAACUCCGAUUGCGAAGGCAGCUGACGGGAGCGCCACUGACGCUUAAGCUCGAAGGUGCGGGUAUCGAACAGGAUUAGAUACCCUGGUAGUCCGCACAGUAAACGAUGGAUGCCCGCUGUUGGUACCUGGUAUCAGCGGCUAAGCGAAAGCAUUAAGCAUCCCACCUGGGGAGUACGCCGGCAACGGUG